CCUACGGGCGGCAGCAGUGGGGAAUAUUGCACAAUGGGGGAAACCCUGAUGCAGCAACGCCGCGUGAGUGAAGAAGUAUUUCGGUAUGUAAAGCCCUAUCAGCAGGGAAGCAGAUGACGGUACCUGAGUAAGAAGCCCAGGCUAACUACGGGCCAGCAGCCGCGGUAAUACGGAGGGGGCAAGCGUUAUCCGGAUUUACUGGGUGUAAAGGGAGCGUAGACGGUGUGACAAGGCAGAAGUGAAAGCCCGGGGCUCAACCCCGAGACUGCAUUGGAAACUGCCUGACUGGAGUGCUGGAGAGGCAAGCGGAAUUCGUGGUGUAGCGGUGAAAUGCGUAGAUAUUAGGAAGAACACCAGUGGCGAAGGCAGCUUGCUAGACAGUAACUGACAUUGAGGCUCGAAAGCGUGGGGAGCAAACAGGAUUAGAUACCCCUGUAGUC
This 440-nucleotide ribosomal RNA is filed under the name uncultured bacterium. RNAcentral describes it as "partial 16S ribosomal RNA". It matches the Rfam family "Bacterial small subunit ribosomal RNA", at positions 338 to 795 of the family's 1533-position model. The record is from RNAcentral.